RNAcentral lists this ribosomal RNA (361 nucleotides) under uncultured rumen bacterium. RNAcentral's name for it is "partial 16S ribosomal RNA". The record is from RNAcentral.
UAUUCCCCACUGCUGCCUCCCGUAGGAGUCUGGGCCGUGUCUCAGUCCCAAUGUGGCCGGUCACCCUCUCAGGUCGGCUACUGAUCGUCGCUUUGGUAGGCCGUUACCCUGCCAACUGGCUAAUCAGACGCGGGUCCAUCUCACAGUGAUAAAUCUUUUCACCCUGUACCAUGCGGUACUGUGUGCUUAUGCGGUAUUAUCAGUCGUUUCCAACUGCUAUCCCCCUCUGUGAGGCAGGUUGCCCACGUGUUACUCACCCGUCCGCCACUCAACUUUCAUCCAAUCUACCGAAGUUUCAUGAAAUCAGUUUCGUUCGACUUGCAUGUGUUAGGCACGCCGCCAGCGUUCAUCCUGAGCCAAA